Molecule: ribosomal RNA, 513 nt
Filed under: Triticum aestivum (bread wheat)
Lineage: Eukaryota; Viridiplantae; Streptophyta; Magnoliopsida; Poales; Poaceae
Description: partial small subunit ribosomal RNA
Source: RNAcentral
AUGGGAGAGAAAAGCUUAGUAAAAGGUGGUGAGAGGCGUCUGCCACGAUCGCCGAGUGGCAUCAUUGGGGGUCUUUGUAGGUUAAAUUAUCCUGGACUGGUCACUUUGUCGAACGGUAUCAUUGAGCCAGCUUGGUCAUGGGAUCACUACAAACUAGCACCGGAUUUCCUGGAUAUGCAUCAGAGGGUUUGUGAUAACAGAGCCAUGCGAGUGGUCAACGAUUUCUGGGAUUUCUAUACAUGCGUUGAGGGUCAGAAGGAUCGUGAAAAUGUGGUGGUUGAGAAUAUUGCCAAGAAACUAGUCCACGACAUGCACUAUGAGGAGCGUGUCCGGUUAGUGGUCAAGUAUCACGCGGACUAUCUCAACCAUAGGAUUUCCAAACAGGAGGCUCGAGGGACCCAUCUUUCACGGGACAAUUACUUCAAGGUUCGUGCUAGGAGAAGAUCGUCGAACGGUGGACAGAUCCAGGGUGGCAGGAUGAACACAAAGCAAUAUCUGAACGACAUAAGUUGA